AUGAAAUGUAAUGGAAUAAAUGUAGAGUAUUGUACUUGGCCUUGAAAAUCAAUUUCAGAAAUACAGGAGAGGCAUAGCUACAAAAAGGCUGACUGGUUUCAGUUUAUGAGGCUGAUUAUGAGUCAACAAUGUGACAUGGCCACAGGGGUGUGCUGAAACCAGUUUCAGAGGCUCCCAAGGGCCAAUUGUUAAAUUUUCAGUGUAAACAUUUAUACCUCAGAAAUAGGCAAAUACCAAGGCUGUAAAUACAACAAAUAAGUAUUGUUUUAUUUAUUGUCUCAGGGAAAGAGGAGUUGGAGGAAGGGAAUAAACAUUACAUAAUACCUACUCCGUGUCAGGUACUGUGCUGAGUACCUUUACAAAUAUGAUCUCAUAUGAUCCUCACAACAGCUGUUAUUAUCUCCAUUUUAUAGUCGAGGAAACUGAAGCAAAUAGCGGGUAAGUGACUUGACCCAGUCACAUAACUAGUAAGGGUCUGAAACUGGAUUUGAACUUGGGUCUUCCAGACCACAGACCCAGCACUUCAACUGGUGGAACCCCUAGCUGCCUUAAACUUAAGAAAGCAGUGGAGGAAAUGUUAAUAAUGCAGAUUAAUUGAAAAAAAAAUGUGUCCUGUAUUCAUGUUUUUCUUUUCUUUUCAGGGAGCUGGUUGUUAAACAUUUACCAGUACAUCACUGGACACAGAACUCAAAAAACCUAUUUUCCCAGACUAUAUUAAGAUCCACACCCAGCCCAUCAGCCCAGAAGCAGCAGACAGAUA
RNAcentral lists this long non-coding RNA (760 nucleotides) under Monodelphis domestica (gray short-tailed opossum). RNAcentral describes it as "lncRNA (ENSMODG00000040768.1)". The record is from RNAcentral. Lineage: Eukaryota; Metazoa; Chordata; Mammalia; Didelphimorphia; Didelphidae.